UACCACCUUGCUUGUAACCCCCAACAAAC
RNAcentral lists this non-coding RNA (29 nucleotides) under Mus musculus (house mouse). Lineage: Eukaryota; Metazoa; Chordata; Mammalia; Rodentia; Muridae. The record is from RNAcentral.